CUAUCAUUACAGCUCUUAGAUUUUAACUCAAAACACCAAGUCAUCAGGCAUUACAACGCAGAAGUUGGUCCUGUAUCUUUGUUGGCAACAAACAGGAGCACACCAAAGAUGAAUAAAUAGGUAAUAAAAUCUUAGUGGACAGCAUAAAUCAUCAAAUUGAGUACACGGGAUAACUAAAUGGCAAAUAGCAAUGUCACUUCAUUCCUGCCAAUGCUUGAUUGUUUGUACCAAAGAAAAUGUAGUCCAACUAAUUGUAGACCAUAUACUUCGGUGUUGCAUGGAAUUUCUGAUAUCCCUUAAUGACCUUGUUGACGGCAUCCAAAAAGUCUUUCUCUGUAACAGUUUUCUUCCUUGCUCGAAUAGCAUACAUUCCAGCCUCCGUGCACACACUUCUUAUAACAGCUCCUGGAAUAAACCAAAUCAAUGAAAAGGCAAAAGUGAGCCCCUACUUGUCGUAUUUGUACAUCUCAUUACUACAAUAUUUUGAAAAUUUAAGUGAUGCAUAUAGGUGAAAUUAUAUUUGUCCAAAAAUAUAUACAAGUGAACUCAUCACUUCUCUUUACAUGAAAGUAAACCUUCUCUAGACCUCCAUAAAUGCCAUAAAGUCGGAAAAACAGCCAACUUAUUGCCAAAUUCACUCUUUAAAUGCAUCAAACUCAAUUAAAAUAUCAACCUCUUCCAAAAUUCUCCUCUAGGUCCAGCAACCUUAACCUUGGCUUUUAACUGGUCAAUGGACAAGCUCAAGGAGAUCUCAUUCUGUAAAUACUCACCUUAAAAUUCCUAUUGAUAUAAGUUGCGGAAAAAAAAAUCCUAUUAAUAUAAACCCAUCCAACAUUGUGGGUACCAAACCAAGUUAUCUAAGUCCACCGACCACAGUAUGUAUGUACAACACCAACAAGGCAACAACAGCAUACCCAGUGUAGUCUGACAAAGUGGGGUUUGGGGAGGGUAGAGUGUAAACAAACCUUACCCCUACCUCAGAGUUAGGGGUACUAUUCGGGAUAGACCCUUGGCUCAAGGACACCACAUUAUGUAUGUAAACCCCAAUAUUCAUUUCAACAGAACAGUUCAAGAUUACAUUAAUGGACUGCCCAAGAACACUUGGAAGGUUUUUUUUUGUGGAAAAUUUUUACAUAUUCAAGUUCUAUCAGGGAACAAGAAAAGCCCAUGACAUAAAAGUUGAAACAAGGUAAGUUGAUCCAAAAUGUAACAAGAAAAUUUGGAAUGCGAGUAAUAAUGUGUGUCUUUGCUGUUGUACUUUUGCACAAAAUAUAGAUUGUGAUUCUCCAGUUUUAACAGUAAACCUGGCUUCCCAGGCACCCUCCUUCCAGAUACCCGUACAUUCACCAAUAGAGGUGUUACUAGAAGAUAGAACAGAACAAAAUACUAUGUUGGAAAGACAUGAUGCAUACCUUUGCAAUUUGCUUGACGUUUAUCACGUAUUUUGCAUCUUCAGUGUUGGGGCUAAUUACCUUUGUACAGCUGGCAACCUGCUCCAAAAGAAUUCAAUUAAUACUUCAAUGUACCUGAGUAAUAAAAGAGCAACAGAUCUGUAUUUCAAUGAAACACACCUGAAGAGGUUGCUCCGCCUGCAUCAUCUGUUUAUCAGAAACCAGAUCCCAUUGACUUGGUGCAGCUAACCCAGUGUCAGACCCCUUAAUACCUAUGGUAAAUUAUUUACGAUGUAGUUCACAAGAAUGUGCAACAAAGAAACACAAGGUUUGAAAAGAACAAAAAGAAGUCCCUUCACAUAAUCAAAUACAAAAUCAACAAGAGACAUAACAAACAUACCGCGUAAAUCAUUUAUCUUUUUGGCCAUUUCCUUGAUUUCCUUUUCGGCUUUCUUUAUGCCGGUCGAAUAAGGUCCCAGACCCUGCAAAAAUCAUUAUAUUUUGUGAGAAUAAUUUAUAAAUCGUGAACUUUCACUGAGCCAGCACUACAAAAUAUAAUUACAAGUUCGGCAAUUCCCAAAUAUCUUGCAUUUCAUCUACAUCAUGUAGAAGGAUCAUUGUACCAAAAGGCUAGCAAGGAGGAGGGAUGUGUGACUUAGGCCUAGAGUAACACAUGUGCACCUCACUGACUCAAUCUUGCAACUGAAUAAUGUCUCAAAAAACAAAAAAGAUAAAUAUGCAUAUUUCUACUAUUUUUUUGCCCUCGUAGCUUAGUUCAAGUAGCAAAGGUGGAGGAACUUGUGACUUAGGUAAGAGGUUUGACUCCUGUGCUGUACCAAUUAAGCCUGGUAUUUUCAUUGGAGAAGGGUACAAGGGCAGGUCAUUAUCACCAAGCUUCCAAGGUAACAAUUGGUCUUAAAGGGUUGACCCCGAACAGAUUUCUCAUUCAUCAAAAAAAAAUUAUUUAAAUUUUAUUUAUAAUGAGAGGCACAAUUGACCAAGGCAACUUAUCCAUGCUUAACAGGAGAGCCUCAAUACCCUAGAGUGACCUGAACCUACUGAGCUCACAGGCAUUAGCUCAACAUAACAAAUGGGGAAUCAGCUACAACAGUGGAGGAGCUUAUGUAGGAGAACAAGUGCUCCCACUAGAAGUACAAAACCAGAAAGUAACAUAUAAGGAACAAGAAGAUCACAUGGACCACACAUGCCCCCGCUGCAGUUCACCAAAUUUGACAAGAAUGGUUCAGAUAUAAGUGUAACUCAUACUUGCAGACAUAUAAUCUCUCUGAUAUGUUUCUACCUCUAAAAACAUGGCAUGUAGUUAGGUGGAGAAAAUAUGUAUUGGUUUUUUCAUUUAUAAAAGUGAAUUGAGAUCUUGAAUUUAACUUUUUUAAAAUCAAUUCUUAGCCACAAAAUACAUAUUAGAAAGCACAAAAACAAAAGCAAAAAGAGCAAUGCAACAUAAGUAAUAUUACAGAUCCUCUCAGACCAUAAAAAGUUAUAUUUUAUGCUAUGAGCAACUCUGGUCGCAAGUGUCAUAAGUGAUUCAACAGUUCCAUGGCUGCAUAUUCAGUCAAUAGCAUGUGACUACUCAAAGGCUUGUUAGAAAGGCGGCAAGGGAUGAACAAAACCCCCUAUGUUGACACUCCAAACAUAACUUUAGAGGCCGUUACUAGAUAGACCAGAGCUACACCCAGGGGGGGAAUUAUUUCCCACUAAGGAACGCACCUAGAUUUCUCCCAUUGAAUCCGUCUUAGUUCCGAUAAUUGAAUUAUCCAUAGAUAUAUGCUCCCUGAACCAAUUCACUUGAGUGAGACAUAAGAGAGUGGAAUUCCCUGAUAAGCUGUAUUAAAGUAAGUUCAAGCUAAGCUCUUGUUUCUAAAGACGAGAAGGAGGACAUGUUCAAUGUCUUCAAAAAAAUGGCGUUAGGGGGAGGGGAUUACAAGGUGGGUAGUGGAACCCUCACCAACAAGGUGAAGGUAGUCAGAUAGUCAGCCAAUUGAACUACUAUUUCCCCCGAACAUUGAUAACCUAAAAAAGGUUUUGAGCAUAAUGAAAAUGAGAGAUGUUGCUAGCUGCACGCAUCCACACCUACAAAACAUCCACCUAAAUCCUAAUAAACGCAAAUCACUACCUUCAAGAGCUCAAACAUUCUUCAAAUUCGAACCCACUUAGUAACAAAACGAAAGAUAAUAUCAAAAAUUACAUUUCUGCAACAUUCUGUACCAUCUCAGUUAUCCAACAGUGCGCAAUGAAAAAUUAACAGUUCAAAAUGAAUUCAAAAGCAACAGAUAGAGCCAAUAGGUAAGAACUAGGGUUAAAGAUUAGGGGAAGAAAUAGUACAUAAGUUUUGAGUAGAGCAAUAUCAUCUUCAUACAGUGGCGGUGGGUUCUUCUCGUCCUUGAUCUCAUCUUCGAUAUCAGCGGCUGCGGGUGCCAUAGAUUUCAGAUGCGUUCGUUCUUCCCACAAAUAGCAAAGAGCAAAAAGAUCUGUAUUUCGAAAAAUUUCUUGAGAAAGUAUAACAAGAAUGAGAUCUCUUUCGCUUUUAUAAAACCCGGUACAUGUGGUUGUUGGGGCAGAUAUAUCCAAAUCGACCCGGUCACCUUCUUUUUGGGCCCAAUGGAAUAUAGUAAAAGAUUAAAAAGAAGGUAAAAGAGCACAAAUAGCCAUAUUUAGGGUUCCUAUUUUGCAAAAAAUUUAAAAUUUAGCCACCUAAAAGUUAACUUCAGACAUGGGAUUUGAAGUUGAAAUCACAGGUGUGAAGUUUCUAACUUAGACCCAAGGGUUUGAAGUUAGUUUUGAUUUUGAAUUCGUUGAGUUAUUAGAUGACUGAAAUACAAGAGCAUCGAAAUUAGUUGAAGUUCAACUUGUAGUGCAUCCCUUACUUGUGAUUUUAAUUAUUUUACUAAUCCUCCCUCUUUCAAGUUUUUGAUUUGAAAAUUGGGAACAACACUGGACUAGUUUUGAACCAUAUGCAUUAACUUAUUCUUCUGUUCGAAACUAUGUACUUCUUCUGCUUCCUUUCCGCGGCUAACAAAACAAGGCAUCUUAUGAGACAGUUUAAAAGAUGCUCAAGCAUGCACAUCUGAAGUCUGAACUUGAAAACUAUCAAUUACAUCCAACCUUCAGAGUCAAGAGCCUAAACGCUCUAAUACAGAUUUGGUUUAUGUGAAGCCACAGUUUUGAAACUAAGCUUCUUCACAACCACUAAAACAAAAUGAAGAGUUAUAGCUUUCAAGUUCACUGCACUAAGCUAUAAUUCUAGGAAGAUAUUAUUGCAGGAAAUGUCGUAACUGAAUCAAAGAAACCUACAGCUAACAUGUAUGUUAGUGACGGGAUGCAGAUUCCUAAUUUUUGUCUUGCCGAUUCCAAGAUAUGUAACAACUCACUCACAAGGGAACAAAUGUAUUGAACCAGGGCAGCUUCUAUAGAAAAUACAGAAGAAAAACAUUUUGUUGAGUAUUCCUGAAAUAGUUGCAAAGAUUAAUAUGAAUCUCUUGGUUCCCCAUAGUCUUGUAGGGGUCUGGGAAGCUGCUAAAAUUCUCAUGACCAGUUCUUUCAAAAUUGAUAUGGAAAAGUCAGCUAUAGUGAGUGCUUGUAUUUAAUAACAUCCAUUGUGUUCAAGUUAAAUCUCUGGCAGAUAUCAGAUAUGGUCGGCUCACUUAAACCAUCAUUAGAUUCUCCAAGAGUUAUGUAUACAGCUUUGGAGUUGUUAUGUUGGAACUUUGUACUGGUCGAAAACCUUUCGAUAGGUAAAUGUUAAUUUAAUGAUUUUGAACCCAAAAUCUGUUUAAGACAAAUAAUAAUAUACGUGUGUUGUGUGUUCUUCUCUUCUCCACUCAGCUCAAGACCAAGAUCUGAACAGUCUUUAGUUAGAUGGGCAACCCCUCAGCUUCAUGAUAUUGAUGCCCUGGAAAAGAUGGUUGAUCCAGCUCUCUCUGGAUUAUAUUCUGUCAAAUCUCUUUCCCGGUUUGCUGAUGUUAUUGCUCUCUGUGUUCAGGUAAUACUCUCGUUGUUUCAAUUCAUGUGACUAGACACGAGGUUUAAGAUAAAAAUGAAGACAUUUGAAACAUGUGGUCUUAAACAUGACAUAACAUCUCAUUAGAGUAAAAUGAGAAGUAGUUCGUUCCUUUUGUACUGAAAGCUGUUAUAUGCCAUGUGUUCAAUUUUCAAUGAAGUACUUCCCUAAAUCGCGCUCACUAUCACAAUGGUUUGUGUAUGUUGUGUCAGCUUGAGCCUGAGUUUCGGCCACCUAUGUCUGAAGUGGUUCAAGCAUUAGUCCGGCUAGUGCAACGAGCAAAUAUGAGCAAGAGGUUACACAAUAAUGAUCAGAUAAACAUAGAAUGACUCUUGAAAAAGAGGCUCUUAACUGCAUGGUAUUUAUACUAAUUCGAAAACUGCCAGUUCUGCAUCUAGAUUCCGGCAAAGGUUCAUUCAUACUUGAGCAAUUACGACACCACUAAGAAUGCAUAUGACACUUUUAAGAGUCUAAUUGAGUGGACACCUUGGAAAAUAGCGUUGCUUGCAAUAUUGAUGGAAGGCAAACACAAAAUAAAAAGAAUUAAGGCAGAUUAGGACACAACUAUUGCUUGAUGUUAGUACGACAAUAACAGUUCUACUUUGCCAAUCAGAUACCUACCUUGACAAACACAAGCGCUGACAGCAGAAGCCGACAUCACAGGAAUGAAAUUGAAUUAAAAUUAAGUAAAGAGGGAAAGCUAGCUAUCAUUACAGCUCUUAGAUUUAAACUCAAAACACCAAGUCAUCAGGCUAACGCAGAAGUUGGUCCUGCAUCUUUGUUGGCAACAAACAGAAGCACCAAAGAUGAAUAAACAGGUAAUAAAAUCUUAGUGGACAGUAAAAAUUAUCAAAUUGAGUACACGGGUAAUAAAUGGCAAAUAGCAAUGUCACUCCAUUCCUGCCAACACUUGAUUGUUUGGACCAAAUAGAAAGUAGUCCAACUAAUUGUAGACC
Molecule: long non-coding RNA, 6365 nt
Filed under: Solanum tuberosum (potato)
Lineage: Eukaryota; Viridiplantae; Streptophyta; Magnoliopsida; Solanales; Solanaceae
Description: long non-coding RNA (STUB_LNC006717)
Source: RNAcentral